Long non-coding RNA from Panthera uncia (snow leopard), 5061 nucleotides. RefSeq lists it as uncharacterized. The record is from RefSeq and is a predicted model, not a curated record. NCBI's taxonomy places the organism in Eukaryota, Metazoa, Chordata, Mammalia, Carnivora, Felidae. The transcript is spliced from 3 exons.
GCGCCUCCACACGCUCGCAGGCGCGCGCGCCCGCCCGCCCGCGCGCGCCGGCGCCCCCUCCCCGCCACGUGACCGGCGGCUCAGCACGACCCGCGAUUUGCACCCCCGCUACGCGGCGCGGACGGAGCCGCAGCGCUCCUCUGCGGAGCUUGCCCCUCAGGUCCUCAGUCCAAGGAGCUCGCGGUGACUUACACGCGUGCGGGACGCCGGCGCCGGCCUACCCUUCAGUCUCUGGCAGAGAAAAGGGAAAAGCCGCGAAGGACGGAUGGGGCGUACCCCCGGGGGCCUGACUCAGGUCCUGUCCUGUGGUAUUUGGUGGAUGGUGGUGGUUAAACACAGAAACCGGGAAAGAAGAGCGGCUCAGAGGGUGGCGACCCCUGUCUCUAGGGGGAAGGUGUGUAUGCCAGAAACGGGGAGACAAGGGAAUGCAAAAGCCAAAUUUCUAUGGACACCGAAUGUUCGGGACAGGACAUAAUCAGAGCUAGCAGUUUUGAGGGACCGAUUAUAUACUUAGCAGUUCACCUGAAUUAUCCUCAAUCUUAUGAGGUCGGUAACUAUUAACAUUUUACAAAUAAGGGACCUAAGGCUCAAGAGAGGUUAAGUAACCUUCCAGAGGUCACAGAGUAAGUGGCCAACACCUACAGUCAGACUCCAGAGCCAGAUUUUGUCCUAAGAGCCAUUGUAGUUUCUUGAGCAAGUCUUGACAGGGGAAGUGGUUCUGUUUAAGUGAUCAGAUUGAAUAAUUAUGAGGUGUCUCUGAAGUUGGCCUUCAGGAAAUACCAAAAAUGUAUGAAGGCCCCUGCCUUCAGAGAGUUUACAGAUUUUAGGGGCAAUCUCCCAUUCAGGCAGAAGAAAUCAGCCAGCAUUUGAUGACCAUUUGCUCUUUCCCCCAACCGAGUCCUUCCUUCCUCCUCCUACCCUUGAUUCUCACAAAAACCCUGUGAGAUUGGCUCUAAGGUUUUGUUUUACAAGUGAAGAACUGAGAUUGAAGAGUGGGGAUUGAAGGGUCCGGUUCUGAGAGGUGAUUGUGCUUUCCCCUUACCCACUCUGCUUCUGUUUCACACAACGAAAAGUUUUCAGUAAUAGUUCAACACCUUAGAAGACGGUAUGGAAUCUAUGGCCAAGUACUGCGUAUGAGCAGCAAUUAAUUGCUUCUCACCUUUGAUAAAUGCUGAGAAGGAAGGCACUUUAGGCCAUGGGGGUGUCUAGGACUUAGAACAGUAGUGCUUUAGGAUUAUUAGGGUGGUAGCAGCAUUCAUGGUAGACGGUAGGAGAAUUGAGUUAAGGAGACAGCAUGGGACUGGUUCGGACAUGAGCUUAUCAGGGCCCGAACUAUAGAAUGGAGUGGGAAACAGUAGAUUAAGAUGAUUCUAGGAAACCCGAAAAGAAGACUUAUAUAGGGUGGGAUGGGUUUAUAUUAUCAACCCAGGAGCCAGAUCUCCACAGUUUCAAUUUUGAUACUUGGCACUUAUAAGCUCUAUAUCCUUAGGCAAAUUAUUUUACUCUCUAAGCCUCAUUGUCUGCUUUGUAAAACAAGGAUAGUACCUACCUCCUAGGGUUGUUAUAAUAAAAAUACUAUUUACUUAAGUGUUUGGCAGAAAGUAAGCACUAAAUAAUUGUAUAACUGUGGAAACCCGUGAAACCGAGCCCUAAAGAUUAAUCCUAAAGGCACUUCACUUGAAUAGACCCCUUCCAGGACCUGACAGGGGCCCUAACAAUGUGUUCACAGGAUUAUAUUAGUGUUUUAUUGUAAUUUUGUAUUCCUUUUCUUGAAAAUGUCCACCAAAAUUGUGUAUGCUGCAUGCUCCACAAAAUCUGGAUCUGUCCCUAGUAGAAACUGUAGUGUUGUGAAGAGUACAUACUUUGGGAUCAGAAGGUUUGUUCCCAUAAUUUACUAUUGGUGUUACUCUGGACAGUUAAUUCAUUGAACCAUUGAACUCUUCUGGGCCAGGUAAAUUGGAGAUAAUAUCUAUCAGCCCAAGCUAUUGUGAUAAUUAAGUAAGAGUAUAUGCAGAAGGGGUUGGUAAAACUUGGAAAGCACUCCACAAGUGUUUAUGAUUAACAUUAUAGUUUGUUCAUAAAGUGCAUAAGAGGGAAAGAUCAAAAGCAAGGAAAAGGUUCUUAGCUGAAAAAGUAGAAACAGGGUGGGUGAGCUGGCAAAACUGAUGAAAUAAUACAGGUAAAAUGUUUUUCUGCCAAGUUUCUUCCUGAUUAAUCCAUGAGACAUUGAAGAAAUAAAAUUGUAGUAGUUGCAGGAUCAGAAAUUUAGCGCCGAGAGGAGGUUGAAGAUCAUCUGACCCAACCCACCACAUUUUACGGAAAUGGAAAUUAAGGUCCAGAGAGCUAAAAGAUUUUUCUAAGGUCACUCAUCUAAUAAAUGGCAUGUACCAAGUAAUCUUUAAGGUAAAAAGCAUUUCACGGUGGGGUCUUUCAGAAUCAUUACAUCAAAACCAGAGAAGGCAUGAUAUUCUCUAGUGGCUUUUGGUUUUAUCAUGAAAUUCUUCAGAUUCACCUUCCUGUUUUAGAGGCUGAUAGACUGGAUGAUGCAUGGGUAAUCUGCUGUUGGCAAGCUUGUUAAAUGAGCAAAACUUCUGAAGAUUUUAAGGUGUGACCACAUCAUGCAUGAAACAGCCCAGACGUGCUUCAACCAUAACAUGGGAGUACAUGAUUCAGACUAUGUCGGCAACAUAGCUCGCUUACGGAAUCCAGUGGAAUGAGAGACAGAUGGACUCCAAGAGUCAUUGGGGAGAACUCUUCAUCACUGCAGCCAUGCACCUAAACCUAAACAGGUUUUUCUGCCAAGAAUCUAGGGAAAUCCCAUCCCAUCUCCCAAAUUUAUAGAUAACAUCACUAAGGUUUUUUUUACCUGACAAGUACUAUAAAGCUGAGAUUGUGCUCACUUUGGUAGCACAUAUACUAAAGAAAAGCUGAGAUUUUUUUUUUAAUGUUUAUUUAUUUUGAGAGAGUGGGGAAGGUCCAGAGAAAGAGAGAGAGAGAAUCCCAAGCAGGAUCUGCCAUCAGUGCAGAGCCUGACAUGGGGCUCAGUCCCAUGAACCGUGAAGUCACGACCUGAGCCUGAAAACAAGAGUUGGACACUUAACCAACUGAGCCACCUAGGCGCCCCUAUUAAGCUGAGAUUUAAACCUAGGUCUAUUUUACUUAGCCUGUGUUAAAUACUAGGCUAUUUUCAUUUUAUUUUGUUCAAAAUCCUGAGGUCAUAGAGAAGAAUAGAAGGGUAGUGAUGAGGUGGAUAAUAGGAGGCAGAAAACGCUGGGUUGUUUUAAAGUCUCAACCCUGAGCCUUCUAUCUUUUGUACACUGUUUCUUCAUAGAAGACACUUUCUCCUACCUGGUAAGUUGUGUACAGGACAACAUGGAAAUAAAGGAGAGGCAGAUAGACCAACAAGGGAGUAAUUUUAGUAAUUCUAUUAUAUCAUUCAAACCUCCUUGUAAUGCAAUUUAGCUUCCCCACUGGUUGUGAAUUAAUCAGGUUUCAUAAUUAUAUUUAUAAUCAGGUUCUUUCUACGUAAUUAUUGUUUGUACUUGAGCAAAUUGCUUAGGAAGGCCACCUCCAAAUCCAAAUUAAAUGUUUCAUUUCCUAUUUCCUUUAUGGGGGCACAUGAUUAUUUUGGGAAAAGCAUUGGCUUGACAAUUAAAUUCCAUGUCUUGCUGUAUCUCCUAGGGAAGACCUAGAUCUCUUUUAAUUAUUUUUUAACAUUACAUAUUCACAAGUCUUACCAACCCAUGGAUGGGAAGGAAGGGCUCUUAGUGGAUCCCUGAAGUAUUACAGACCUCAGGCAAACUUGUAUGCAGUCUUUGUAUUUUAAAAAUUCAGGUAUUCCAGGAAGCCUGGGUGGCUUAGUCAGUUGAGCAUCAGACUCUUGAUUUUGGCUCAGGUCUUGAUCCCAGGAUCGUGGGAGCAAGUCCCACAUCAGGCUCCAUGCUGAAUGUAGAGCCUGCUUGGGAUUCUCGGUCUCCCUCUGCCCCUACCCUGCUCAUGUUCUCUCUUCUCUCUCUCUUUAAAAUGAAUAAAUAAAAAGGGAGUAAAAUUCAUGUAUUCUAAAUCCCUAAUGAGUUGUCCACUAUUAAAAAUGCAAAAGCUUCAGAAUUCAGAAAUUACCUUAACAAUAUCAGAUAGCCAUAUAAACAUGUUGUGAUCUAAAUUAAACAUUCUCCAUGUAGAAAACUUUUCUUUGCGUUAGCAAAGCAAAUAAAAUUUCUCCUUAAUUUUCACCUGAAGAGGGAAAGCUAGGGUGAGUGAAGAACAGGGUGUAUUUUAAGCUAGGUAUGAAAGGCCUAAUAGAAAAAUCAAGGAUAGAUUUUUCUCUUGUAUGUUGAAGAGAAAUUUAAAUUAUGUGUUAGUGUUUGGUAUGCUUUCCUGUCAGUUUGGAAAGUUAACCUUUCCAGGACAAUCUCUACCAGAAAUUAAGGCGCUUUUUUUCCCCCUAAAGUUUAUUUAUUUAUUUUGAGAGAGAGAGAGAGCAUACCCGUGGGAGGGGCAAAGGGUGAGGGAGAGAGAGAAUCCUUGCCGUCAUUGCAGAGCCUGACACGAGACUCAAUCUCACAAAUCAGGUGAGAUCUUGACCUGAGCCGAAAUCGGGAGUUGGACACUUGGGGCUCUGUGCUGACAGUGUGGACCCUGCUUGGGAUUCUGUCUCCCUCCUUCUCUCUCUGCCCCUCCCCCACCUCAAAAUAAAUUAAAAAAAAAAAAGAGUGGGAUGUUUAACUGACUAAGCCACUGAGCCACCCCAAGCUUUCUUUUCAAAAAGAUUUUUGCCUACUCCUUUUCAGAGAGAUAGCAAGACAUGUUUGACUGAAGAACAUUUGCCACCUUUUGGUUAUCCAGUGUAGUGUAGUACAGUUCCUUUUAUCCCACUUCCCUUUAUUUUCAUAGACUGGAAGAUAUCCAAAAAUAAACGUGUUCAGAAAUGGAGGUAUACAUACAUGAAAGCUAAGGACAGUCCCGUGUAUCUAGGUCUCUAGGCAAUCUUUUCCUGGUCUUUUCGUCUUGGUAUUCUACCCUUACCAGAAAAAAAAAAAAAAAAAAAGAAAGAAAGAAAAA